RNAcentral lists this ribosomal RNA (252 nucleotides) under uncultured bacterium. Its description in RNAcentral is "partial 16S ribosomal RNA". It matches the Rfam family "Bacterial small subunit ribosomal RNA", at positions 524 to 776 of the family's 1533-position model. The record is from RNAcentral.
UACGGAGGAUGCGAGCGUUAUCCGGAUUUAUUGGGUUUAAAGGGUGCGCAGGCGGCGUGUCAAGUCAGCGGUAAAAUGUCGGGGCUCAACCCCGGACGGCCGUUGAAACUGGUGGUCUUGAGUGGAUGAGAAGUACGCGGAAUGCGUGGUGUAGCGGUGAAAUGCAUAGAUAUCACGCAGAACUCCGAUUGCGAAGGCAGCGUACCGGCAUCCAACUGACGCUGAGGCACGAAAGCGUGGGGAUCAAACAGG